This 301-nucleotide ribosomal RNA is filed under the name uncultured bacterium. RNAcentral describes it as "partial 16S ribosomal RNA". It matches the Rfam family "Bacterial small subunit ribosomal RNA", at positions 509 to 807 of the family's 1533-position model. The record is from RNAcentral.
CAGUCGCCACGGGAAUACGAAGGGUGCAAGCGUUAAUCGGAAUUACUGGGCGUAAAGCGUGCGUAGGCGGUUUGUUAAGUCUGUUGUGAAAUCCCCGGGCUCAACCUGGGAAUGGCAAUGGAUACUGGCAAGCUAGAGUGUGUCAGAGGAUGGUGGAAUUCCCGGUGUAGCGGUGAAAUGCGUAGAGAUCGGGAGGAACAUCAGUGGCGAAGGCGGCCAUCUGGGACAACACUGACGCUGAGGCACGAAAGCGUGGGGAGCAAACAGGAUUAGAUACCCCGGUAGUCCCUGUCUCUUAUAC